GGCACUGCCUCUGUCACCAGGCCAUACAUAGCCACUCUCAAUCAGGGCAAGCAGCCUCGACAAAUCAGUGCUCUGUGAAAAUGGAAAAGGAUCUUAAUUAAAGCCUUAAUGCAAAAGUUUACAGAAAUACCAUAGAAUGCUCUGUCUGUACCUGGAGCCUUCAUAGCCAUGCCAUGGGUAUCUUUUCUAUCCUUGCUCUACCGCUGCUUCUCUUAGGGAUCAGUGGAAUUAUUUAUAUUUACCAGUCAGUCAGGUGGCUGCUGUCCAAGUCAGCGGUGCAGAACAAGGUGGUGGUGAUCACAGAUGCCAUCUCUGGACUAGGCAAGGAAUGCUCUCGUGUGUUUCAUGCAGGAGGAGCAAGGCUGGUGUUGUGUGGCAGGACAUGGGAAAAGUUAGAAGCCCUUUAUGAUGCCUUAAUUAGUGUGACAGACCCCAGCACGACCUAUGCACCAAAGCUGAUCCUGCUGGACAUCACAGACAUAAGCUGCAUUCGAGAUGUAGCUAAGGAAAUCCUGAACUGCUAUGGCUGUGUGGAUAUACUGAUCAACAAUGCAAGCAUGAAGGUGAAAGGAGCAGUGCAGAGCAUUUCACUGGAACUUGAUAAAAAGAUAAUGGAUGCCAACUAUUUUGGACCUAUAACGUUAACCAAAGCCAUUCUUCCUAACAUGAUCUCAAGAAGAACUGGCCAAAUUGUUCUAAUUAACAGCAUCCAAGGGAAAAUAGGAAUUCCAUUUCGUGCAGCUUAUGCUGCUUCCAAGCAUGCUGCUGUAGGCUUUUUUGAUUGUCUUAGAGCUGAAAUGGAAGAAUUUGAUAUUUCUGUCAGCACUGUGAGUCCAACCUUCAUCUGUUCCUACCAUCGCCCACCAGCACCAGGCAACUGGGAGGCAUCCAUUUGGAAAUUCUUUUUCAGGAAGGUGUCCUAUGGUGUGCACCCCGUGGAGGUGGCAGAGGAAGUCCUUGCCACAGUGAGCAGGAGGAAGCAGGAGGUGCUCAUGGCCAACCCCAUCCCCAGAGCAGCAGUUUACAUUCGGACAUUCUUCCCCGAGCUGUUUUUUGCCAUUGUUGCCUCAGGGAUUAGGGAAAAGCUGAAGACAGAAGAGGAAAAUUGAUUUUGUUCAGUUAUUUUCCUUGCUUUUGAGCUGGGAAAAAAAAAAAAAAAAAGUUUUUUGUUUUGAAUGUUUUGAAUGUUGGUGACUUGUGCUGCUUGCUGUGAGUGGAACAGUGCCACUAUCACACACACAUAUUCAUCUGUAAAGCUUCUGCUCCUCUGGUUUUAGGGAGUGUGACAAUUGGAACCAAACUGCUCUUGCUGCUGCAAGUCCCUCUGCUCAUAUAACUUCAGAUCCAGCUCACUUACAUGUCUCAUUCAUUGAUAGAAUCACCAAACAUGAAUGGAAUUCUGAGGGCAAAGGAAUAUAUCUCAUUUUGCAGGGACGUGAAGCUUCUGCUGUGUCUCUGAUUGAAUUGCUCUGGAUUCAAGGAACCUGACUCAGGGAGGUAAUUCACCUCUGGGCUGAAGGGGUCAGUCCCUGCAGCACCUCCUGAAGCUGUUUGCUGUUGUAGCUCUGGUUUUGUGACUGUGCCUUAACUGGGAAGUCAAACAAUCACUUGUUCAAGAUUUUCUUGGUCCUCAGAAGAACUCUCCUGUUUCAAACCAAGGGGCACUUGCUGUGAUCUCAGUUAAAUUUGUGUCUUUACCUCAGCAACAGCCAAGUCCUCCACAUUUCCAUAAGAGCAAGGUGCAGAAUGAGCAAAAUUCCAUCAGUGAAGGAUCAGACACCACAGAACAUCCCAGCUAAACAUGAAUCAACAUUGUCUGUGGCUGCCCCACCCCUGGAAGUGUUGAUGGCCAGGCUGGGUGGGCUUGGAGCAGCCUGGGACAGUGGGAGGUGUUCCUGCCAUGGCAGGGGCUCGGAAUGAUACAGGUGCUUUUUAAGGUCCCUUCCAACCCAAAGCACUCUGAUUUCUGUGAUUUCCAUUAUUUUUUGCUGUAAAAAACAAGUGGAUUACAUGUUAAUAAAUAAUCCUUCUGCUCCAUUUUAGAUGUUCUAGAGAUCAGCAGAAAUUCUUCACACAAUUUCCCUUCAAAACAGUGAGCAGUUCAAGGAGCCACAGUAGAAAGCAGUGAAAGAGCUCCACCUUAUCACUGGCCAUUACCUGACCUGUUACAAAUCCUGCUGUCAUAACAAGCUCAAACUGUAUUUAUUGCCUGAAUAAAGAGACAGAAGGGUUUU
RNA transcript from Parus major (Great Tit), 2234 nucleotides. It is a transcript of the gene named dehydrogenase/reductase 7C, with no coding region annotated. The record is from RefSeq and is a predicted model, not a curated record. The transcript has 8 exons. NCBI's taxonomy places the organism in Eukaryota, Metazoa, Chordata, Aves, Passeriformes, Paridae.